Molecule: ribosomal RNA, 185 nt
Filed under: uncultured bacterium
Lineage: Bacteria
Description: partial 16S ribosomal RNA
Rfam family: Bacterial small subunit ribosomal RNA
Source: RNAcentral
CUACAUGAAGCCGGAAUCGCUAGUAAUCGCGGAUCAGAAUGCCGCGGUGAAUACGUUCCCGGGUCUUGUACACACCGCCCGUCACACCAUGGGAGUCGGGAAUGCCCGAAGUCAGUGACCCAACCCAAGGGAGGGAGCUGCCGAAGGCAGGCCUGGUGACUGGGGUGAAGUCGUAACAAGGUAAC